UGGGGCGUUUGGGGUUAAGCAUGUUUUCGUAGAUGUUUAAUAUUGCUGUGGAACUUUUUUGUCAUGAGAGUGUAAUAGUCAAUAUAUAUAGAGUAUUACUUUCUGUUUGGUGGAAUACUGAAAUAGAAGUCAAUACAUUCUUGCUCAAUCCUUUGUCGCUUUGAAGGUGUCAUGAUUGUCAUUCUCAGCUGACGCAAUGUGAUACUGUAAUUUGAAUAUUAAAAUGACUGAGCGACGUUUUUUCUAUGCACUGGUCAACUCCACCAUAGCGAAUCACAGACACAGGACUUUGAUUAUCA
This 299-nucleotide long non-coding RNA is filed under the name Mytilus galloprovincialis (Mediterranean mussel). The record is from RNAcentral. Lineage: Eukaryota; Metazoa; Mollusca; Bivalvia; Mytilida; Mytilidae.